GAUGAACGCUGGCGGCGUGCUUAACACAUGCAAGUCGAACGGAAAGGCUCCUGCUUGCAGGGGUACUCGAGUGGCGAACGGGUGAGUAACACGUGGGUGAUCUGCCCUGCACUUCGGGAUAAGCCUGGGAAACUGGGUCUAAUACCGGAUAGGACGAUGGUUUGGAUGCCAUUGUGGAAAGUUUUUCGGUGUGGGAUGAGCUCGCGGCCUAUCAGCUUGUUGGUGGGAUAAUGGCCUACCAAGGCGUCGACGGGUAGCCGGCCUGAGAGGGUGUACGGCCACAUUGGGACUGAGAUACGGCCCAGACUCCUACGGGAGGCAGCAGUGGGGAAUAUUGCACAAUGGGCGCAAGCCUGAUGCAGCGACGCCGCGUGGGGGAUGACGGCCUUCGGGUUGUAAACUCCUUUCGCUAGGGACGAAGCGCAAGUGACGGUACCUGGAGAAGAAGCACCGGCUAACUACGUG
Molecule: ribosomal RNA, 465 nt
Filed under: uncultured bacterium
Lineage: Bacteria
Description: partial 16S ribosomal RNA
Rfam family: Bacterial small subunit ribosomal RNA
Source: RNAcentral